ACACAGCCACCACACUAGCUUUGGACACCUCUACCUAGCUCCAUCUGCAACCAUAUGCAUCUCCACCCUCUCCAUUUGGAACCAGAAAACCAUGGCUUCUUCUCCUGCAUGCUCACUACUCAUCCCUACACAGAAAGCUCUAGCUGCUGCUAGUUUCAUUCUAGUAAUGAUACAAAUAUCAAGAGAAAAAGUGAGAGUCAAAUAGAGGUGUGAGGUGAGGAAGAUGCUGCAGGUAGAAGAAGCUGAGAGAAAGAUAUGAUCAAGCAAGCAAGCAAGCAAGCAAGCAAAAGUUAUCUAGCUAAAGAGGGAGCCUUUUCAUUUUGAGGGGAAUGUUGUCUGGCUCGGGGCUACUUUUAAUUUCUCUGUCUUUUGAUAUCUUCUUUUCUCGAUCUCCUAGCUUGAUCUUUUUGAUCUCUCAAAUCGAUCUUAAGAAAAAGAUCAGUCAAAGAGAUGAGAGUAGAUGUCUGUAGAUCUCGGACCAGGCUUCAUUCCCCCCAAACAGAAGGGCUCCCAUGCAUAUCGAUCAUGAGCUAGCUUAUUACCCCCUGCUUUUGCCUCUUCCAAAUCUGAUGAACUGGGUAAGUUAACUGAAUAUUGCUUAACUAAUCAGCUUUU
Molecule: precursor RNA, 615 nt
Filed under: Oryza barthii
Lineage: Eukaryota; Viridiplantae; Streptophyta; Magnoliopsida; Poales; Poaceae
Description: putative precursor microRNA R166b
Rfam family: mir-166 microRNA precursor family (bases 320-499)
Source: RNAcentral